AACGAACGCUGGCGGCAGGCCUAAAACAUGCAAGUCGAACGCCCCGCAAGGGGAGUGGCGCACGGGUGAGUAACGCGUGGGAACGUGCCCUUCAGUACGGGACAACGUCGGGAAACUGACGCUAAUACCGUAUAAUAUCUCCGGCUCAAAGAUUUAUCGCUGAGGGAGCGGCCCGCGUCUGAUUAGCUAGUUGGUGAGGUAAUGGCUCACCAAGGCUACGAUCAGUAGCAGGUCUGAGAGGAUGAUUUGCCACACUGGGACUGAGACACGGCCCAGACUCCGACGGGAGGCAGCAGUUAGGAAUAUUGGACAAUGGGGGAAACCCUGAUCCAGCCAUGCCGCGUGUGUGAUGAAGGCCCUAGGGUUGUAAAGCACUUUCGUUGGGGAUGAUAAUGACCGUACCCAAAGAAGAAGCCACGGCUAAAUUCGUGCCAGCAGCCGCCGUAA
Molecule: ribosomal RNA, 447 nt
Filed under: uncultured bacterium
Lineage: Bacteria
Description: partial 16S ribosomal RNA
Rfam family: Bacterial small subunit ribosomal RNA
Source: RNAcentral